Manis javanica (Malayan pangolin) is the source of this 1033-nucleotide non-coding RNA. The record is from RefSeq and is a predicted model, not a curated record. NCBI's taxonomy places the organism in Eukaryota, Metazoa, Chordata, Mammalia, Pholidota, Manidae.
CAGAGGCUGGUUGCAAGUGAGUGCUCAGUAAGAAUGCUGAGUGAGUGAUGGCUUGUUCAGGAUCGUACUGCUGCUGAUCACCAGGUUGUGCAGAAUGUCUUUAAAUUGGAUUUGGGAAGAACCAAGGAGGUACAUCCUCAUGUUGAAAUCAUGUUAAAGAAGAGAUUAGAAACUGUGUACAUAUAUAAAAGGAGAAGAGGAGCUCAGCUGAACUGGAGUCCUGAGCUGCCAGGUGCAGGAGUACUGAUUAAAGCAUCACGGAGCCCAAGUGCAAGUACUAGUGAAGCCUUAAUGAUGGCGUCAGCCAGAGGCUAAGCCAGAGAAGGUGCCGCUCCCCCUGCUGCUCAUUCCCCAUGGGAUGGCGUCCUGGUGGUUGAGCAGCGACGUGGGGAUUGUCUGGUUGGCGAGGAGCGCUGAACAAAAGGAAACUAGAGUACAAAAUAUAAAGGAAAUGGACCAGCACACACCAAAUCCAAGCAAAGAUUCUCAGCAGCUGCCUCUAGCCAUGCAGGUGGAAUCCCCAAUUCUGAUGUUCUAUCAUUGGCGAAAGAGAAAGUGCCCAAGAUUCAAGAGACAUGAAUUGUUUGUUCUUACAAGGUCCUAGGAGGACAGACGUUCCUAGGAAGGAAUUCCCUAUGCUCUUCCUGUGGUUUGGCGUGGCCUGCCUUCCUGACUCAUCCUCGGGAGUAGCCCUUCAUGCAUGGCUCUGCCGGGGAGCAGCGAGGGAGAGUGGGCGUCAGCAUAAACUGGAAGAGGAAGCAGCGGGAGGAUUCGGAAAGGACGGUUUCUCUCAACAGCACAUGAUCAUGUUGUGCAAAGAAGCUAAUGAGCAGGACUUUGAUUGAAUAUUGUCACACAUACCUUAAGUCUGGGCAAAGGAUUUGAGGAGGAUGAAACUUCAGACAUACAGCAGGUCUUAUGGUUUUGGCUUCACACUGCUUCUUCUGACGCCCUGAGGCUGCUGCUGCUGCUCAGGGAAGCAGCUCUGGACAAGAAGGUGCCAACCUCUCUCAGGCUGCUCCCUCUCAUUUGC